This 1821-nucleotide ribosomal RNA is filed under the name Syntrophomonadaceae bacterium. Its description in RNAcentral is "bacterial LSU rRNA". It matches the Rfam family "Bacterial large subunit ribosomal RNA", at positions 1120 to 2925 of the family's 2925-position model. The record is from RNAcentral. Lineage: Bacteria; Bacillati; Bacillota; Clostridia; Eubacteriales; Syntrophomonadaceae.
CAUUUAAAAAGUGCGUAACAGCUUACCAGCCGACGCCUUUUCGCGCCAAUAAUGAACGGGACUCAAGCCUGAUGCCGACGCCUCGGAUGCCGCUUCGGCGGCAUGGUAGGGGAGCGUUCCACAGGGUAGAAGGUCGACCGUGAGGACGGCUGGACCUCGUGGAAGUGAUUAUGCCGGUACGAGUAGCGAUAAAGGAAGUGAGAAUCUUACCUCGCCGAAAGCCUAAGGUUUCCUGGGGAAGGUAAAUCCGCCCAGGGUUAGGCGGAACCUAAGUCGAGGCUGAAAAGCGUAGACGAUGGAUAACCGGUUAAUAUUCCGGUACUUCCUGACGGCGCUCGAGCGAUGGGGGAUCGAAGACAGGACGGCCAGCCAAACCCUAUGGUUACGGGCGGUCGAAUCCCGAGGGAUGGUUCCAGGAAAAUCCGGAGCGCCAACAUCCCAGAGGACUUAGCGGAGCUUUUAGCUCGGAAGUGGUCCGAAUGUCUUCCAAGAAAUGCCCUCUAGCGAGCCGCUCAGGAAUCCGUACUAAAACUGUCACAGGUAGGCAAGGAGAGUAUCCAAAGGCGCUCGAGAGAACUCUGGCUAAGGAACUCGGCAAAAUUGCCCCGUAACUUCGGGAUAAGGGGCUCCCCCUGGCGUGAAGCGGCUUGCCCGCCGAGCGCCGGAGGGACGCAGAAAUCGGCCCAAGCGACUGUUUACUAAAAACACAGGUCUCUGCCAACUCGAAAGAGGACGUAUAGGGACUGACGCGUGCCCGGUGCUGGAAAGUUAAGGGGAGAGGUUAGCCUGAUGGAAACUGACGGCGAAGCCUUGAACUGAAGCUCCAGUAAACGGCGGCCGUAACUAUGACGGUCCUAAGGUAGCGAAAUUCCUAGACGGGUAAGUUCCGUCCUGCACGAAGCGCGUAACGACUUGGGCACUGUCUCAGCCAGAGACUCGGCGAAACUGUAGUAGUGGUGAAGAUGCCACUUACCCGCAGCCAGACGAAAAGACCCCGUGAACCUUCACUACAGCAUGGCAUUGGCAUUUGAUUUGGAUUGUGUAGGAUAGGUGGGAGGCUUUGAACCGGGGACGCCAGUCCCCGUGGAGCCGCCAGUGAAAUACCACCCUAGCCACGUCGAAUGUCUAACCCUGGCCCGUGAAUCCGGGCGGGGGACCGUGUUUUGUGGGUAGUUUGACUGGGGCGGCCUCCUCCCAAAGAGUAACGGAGGAGCCCAAAGGUCGGCUCAGCGCGGUCGGCAAUCGCGCAAGGAGCGUAAGGGUAUAAGCCGGCUUGACUGCGAGACUCAUAAGUCGAGCAGAUGGGAAACCAGGGCCUAAUGACCCGAUGUGUCCCGUAUGGAAGGGCCAUCGAUCAACAGAUAAAAGGUACUCCGGGGAUAACAGGCUGAUCUCCCCCAAGAGUUCACAUCGCCGGGGAGGUUUGGCACCUCGAUGUCGGCUCAUCGCAUCCUGGGGCUGGAGAAGGUCCCAAGGGUUCGGCUGUUCGCCGAUUAAAGCGGUACGCGAGCUGGGUUUAGACCGUCGCGAGACAGGUCGGUCUCUAUCUGCUGUGGGCGCAGGACACCUGAAGGAGAGCUGCCAUUAGUACGAGAGGACUCUGGUGGACGGACCAAGGGUGGACCAGUUGUUCUACCAAGAGCACCGCUGGGUAGCCACGUCCGGAAUGGAUAAGCGCUGAAGGCAUCUAAGCACGAAGCCAACUCCAAGAUUAGGUGUCCCUAUCAGGCUCGUUGAAGAUCACAACGUUGAUAGGCCGGAGGUGUAAGCGCAGCAAUGCGUUCAGCUUGCCGGUACUAAUCAGCCGAUCGGCUUGACUGC